Molecule: ribosomal RNA, 251 nt
Filed under: uncultured archaeon
Lineage: Archaea
Description: partial 16S ribosomal RNA
Rfam family: Archaeal small subunit ribosomal RNA
Source: RNAcentral
CAGCCGUAAACAAUGUGCGUUAGGUGUGUCGGUAACCACGCGUUACUGAUGCGCCGAAGAGAAAUCGUGAAACGCACCACCUGGGAAGUACGGUCGCAAGGCUGAAACUUAAAGGAAUUGGCGGGGGAGCACCACAACAGGUGGAGCCUGCGGUUUAAUUGGAUUCAACGCCGGACAUCUCACCGGAUAAGACAGCUGAAUGAUUGUCAAUCUGAAGGUUUUACAUGACUAGCUGAGAGGAGGUGCAUGGC